AGCCACACCUCUAAGAAUUAAAACACUAACAUAAAAUGAUCCAUGAUCUGAUCAAUGAACCAAGUUACCCUGGGGAUAACAGCGCAAUCCAUUUCAAGAGCCCUUAUCGACAAGUGGGUUUACGACCUCGAUGUUGGAUCAGGGUAUCCUAGUGGUGCAGCAGCUACUAAUGGUUCGUUUGUUCAACGAUUAAAGCCCUACGUGAUCUGAGUUCAGACCGGAC
This 223-nucleotide ribosomal RNA is filed under the name Mantidactylus opiparis. Its description in RNAcentral is "partial 16S ribosomal RNA". It matches the Rfam family "Bacterial large subunit ribosomal RNA", at positions 2380 to 2621 of the family's 2925-position model. Lineage: Eukaryota; Metazoa; Chordata; Amphibia; Anura; Mantellidae. The record is from RNAcentral.